GACGAACGCUGGCGGCGUGCUUAACACAUGCAAGUCGAACGGAAAGGCCCUGCUUUUGUGGGGUGCUCGAGUGGCGAACGGGUGAGUAACACGUGAGUAACCUGCCCUUGACUUUGGGAUAACUUCAGGAAACUGGGGCUAAUACCGGAUAGGAGCUCCUGCUGCAUGGUGGGGGUUGGAAAGUUUCGGCGGUUGGGGAUGGACUCGCGGCUUAUCAGCUUGUUGGUGGGGUAGUGGCUUACCAAGGCUUUGACGGGUAGCCGGCCUGAGAGGGUGACCGGGCACAAUGGGACUGAGAUACGGCGCAGACUCCUACGGGAGGCAGCAGUGGGGAAUAUUGCACAAUGGGCGGAAGCCUGAUGCAGCAACGCCGCGUGCGGGAUGACGGCCUUCGGGUUGUAAACCGCUUUCGCCUGUGACGAAGCGUGAGUGACGGUAAUGGGUAAAGAAGCACCGGCUAACUACGUG
RNAcentral lists this ribosomal RNA (468 nucleotides) under uncultured bacterium. RNAcentral's name for it is "partial 16S ribosomal RNA". It matches the Rfam family "Bacterial small subunit ribosomal RNA", at positions 28 to 507 of the family's 1533-position model. The record is from RNAcentral.